UGAAAGCCUUCGGCUUAACCGGAGUAGUGCAUUGGAAACUGGGGGACUUGAGGACAGAAGAGGAGGGUGGAACUCCAUGUGUAGCGGUGAAAUGCGUAGAUAUAUGGAAGAACACCAGUGGCGAAGGCGGCUCUCUGGUCUGUAACUGACGCUGAGGUUCGAAAGCGUGGGUAGCAAACAA
RNAcentral lists this ribosomal RNA (181 nucleotides) under uncultured bacterium. Its description in RNAcentral is "partial 16S ribosomal RNA". It matches the Rfam family "Bacterial small subunit ribosomal RNA", at positions 595 to 775 of the family's 1533-position model. The record is from RNAcentral.